GGCUGAAUAGCUCAGUGGUAAAAAGCAGUCGCACGGUAGCGAAAGACUCGGGUUCGAUUCCCGAUUCAGCGA
This 72-nucleotide transfer RNA is filed under the name Camponotus floridanus (Florida carpenter ant). It matches the Rfam family "tRNA". Rfam says of the family: Transfer RNA (tRNA) molecules are approximately 80 nucleotides in length. The record is from Rfam by way of RNAcentral. Lineage: Eukaryota; Metazoa; Arthropoda; Insecta; Hymenoptera; Formicidae.